Molecule: ribosomal RNA, 204 nt
Filed under: uncultured bacterium
Lineage: Bacteria
Description: partial 16S ribosomal RNA
Rfam family: Bacterial small subunit ribosomal RNA
Source: RNAcentral
ACUCCUACGGGAGGCAGCAGUGGGGAAUAUUGCACAAUGGGCGCAAGCCUGAUGCAGCCAUGCCGCGUGUAUGAAGAAGGCCUUCGGUUGUAAAGUACUUUCAGCAGUGAGGAAGGCGGGUACGUUAAAUAGCGUGCUCGUUUGACGUUAGCUGCAGAAAGAAGCACCGGCUAACUCCGUGCCAGCAGCCGCGGUAAUACGGGG